RNAcentral lists this long non-coding RNA (756 nucleotides) under Homo sapiens (human). RNAcentral describes it as "HSALNT0173932". Lineage: Eukaryota; Metazoa; Chordata; Mammalia; Primates; Hominidae. The record is from RNAcentral.
GGCCAAUGUGCUUUGUAACAGAGCCAGACUGUUUUCCUAUCUCCCAGGAUUUUACUCUUUAGUUAAAACGUUGGCAAUCCCAAAGCCUUUUCAACCGCAGGAUUGUCAGGUUUAGGUGUCUCAUGUGGCCGCUCUACCUCCAGAUAUAUGGUAAUGAUGCACCUGUUGAACAAGAAAUUAACAGUGCAGAAACUUAACUUUGAAAGUGCCAGAGUGGAGUGUGCAAUACAAACGUGUCCAGAAUUGUGGCGAAAAGAUUUUGAAUCACUGUUUCCAGAAGUAGCUAAUAGCAAAUUAAUCAUUCUGACUGUAACACAGAAAACUAAGAAUAAUAUGACUGUUUAGAGUGAAGAAGUAGAAACUGAAAGAGAAGUGCUCUUAGAAAAGUUCAUCAAUGUUGCUAAGGAAAUUUGCUGUACUCUUUGUGCUGAGGGAUAUUGGGCUGACUUUACUGACCCAUCAUCUGGUUUGGCAUUUUUUUGGACCAUAUACAAACAACAAUCUUUUUGAAACUGAUGAAUGCUACCGACAUUUAGGAUUCUCUGUUGAUGACCUUCGAUGCUUAAAGUGAUUCGUCAUAGUCUCUGGGGUACCCGUGUAGUUGUAGGAAGCAUCUUCACUAAUGCAACACCAGACAGCCAUAUUAUGAAGAAAUUAAGUGGAAAUUAGCGGAAAUGUCCAUUCAUUUGCUGUAUUAUUUGUAUGUAAUAUUUGGGUUGAUCUAUAAACACUGUCAGACUAAAGUUUUUAAAAUAU